Molecule: ribosomal RNA, 270 nt
Filed under: uncultured archaeon
Lineage: Archaea
Description: partial 16S ribosomal RNA
Rfam family: Archaeal small subunit ribosomal RNA
Source: RNAcentral
CAGCACCUCAAGUGGUCAGGAUGAUUAUUGGGCCUAAAGCAUCCGUAGCCUGCUUUGUUAGUAUUCGGUUAAAUCCAUACGCUCAACGUAUGGGCUGCCGGGAAUACUGCAAAGCUAGGGAGUGGGAGAGGUAGACGGUACUCGGUAGGAAGGGGUAAAAUCCUUUGAUCUAUUGAUGACCACCUGUGGCGAAGGCGGUCUACCAGAACACGUCCGACGGUGAGGGAUGAAAGCUGGGGGAGCAAACCGGAUUAGAGACCCGAGUAGUCC